UCAAAAGUUACUAUAAAAUUAUCAAAACCCAAUACCGUUUCACCCUAUCUCUCUCUCUCUCUCUCUCUCUCUCUCUCUUGUCUUCAUCAUCUACGGCCAUGGUUGUCUUCAUCAUCUACGGCCAACCAUGGCCACCAUAGAUGAGCUCAGUGAAUCAAGUUCAGUGAAUCAACUAUUAUAUAUGAGCUCACACAAUGUAUGAGGAUAUUACUCUAAUUCAGUCUUCUCUCUCUUUCUUUAUUUAUUUAUGGUACCAGAGCCACAAUAAGAAGUAAAAAAAAAAGAUUCAAAUGCUUUGUCUAUUUCACCAGGCUGGCUACACCAGAUGAGAAGUCCAGAAGUUGGGAAUAUGGCUCUACUGACUUGCCGAUUGCAACUCUUUUCCCUUUCAUGUAUUUCAUGGUAAGGGAUUUUUCAGCAACAAGCAGCUAGAUCAGACAGCAAACAACAUCAAAGAUAUACUAACCACCUAGAAACUACUCCACGAGCAAAAACUAAAGAUGAUAAAAUAAUGGACAUGAAGACUUGAAGAUGGAGAGCUAAUGAUAAAAUAAUUCAAUUACAUGAAAAUGUCUCCCAUCCAAUUUUUCAUACUUCUAAUUAUUGAACAAUACUUGUUUUUUUUUUAAAAAAAAUUAAGUAAAAGUUGCAUAAAGAGACAUCUUAUGCAUAUAUAACCAUUAGAAUUGCCUUGUUUUGUCAAGGAAAACAAUAUUUGUGAUGUCAAAUGCUAACAGGAUUAUAUCAUUUCUUAAUUUAGACGAUCAAAUACAUGGCCUUAGUCAUCAUGUUAUUAAUAUA
Humulus lupulus (European hop) is the source of this 801-nucleotide long non-coding RNA. RefSeq lists it as uncharacterized. Lineage: Eukaryota; Viridiplantae; Streptophyta; Magnoliopsida; Rosales; Cannabaceae. The transcript has 3 exons. The record is from RefSeq and is a predicted model, not a curated record.